This 492-nucleotide ribosomal RNA is filed under the name uncultured bacterium. RNAcentral's name for it is "partial 16S ribosomal RNA". It matches the Rfam family "Bacterial small subunit ribosomal RNA", at positions 29 to 507 of the family's 1533-position model. The record is from RNAcentral.
AGUGAACGCUGGCGGUAGGCCUAACACAUGCCAGUCGAACGGCAGCACAGUAAGAGCUUGCUCUUACGGGUGGCGAGUGGCGGACGGGUGAGGAAUACAUCGGAAUCUACUUUUUUGUGGGGGAUAACGUAGGGAAACUUACGCUAAUACCGCAUACGACCUACGGGUGAAAGCAGGGGAUCUUCGGACCUUGCGCGAUUGAAUGAGCCGAUGUCGGAUUAGCUAGUUGGCGGGGUAAAGGCCCACCAAGGCGACGAUCCGUAGCUGGUCUGAGAAGAUGAUCAGCCACACUGGAACUGAGACACGGUCCAGACUCCUACGGGAGGCAGCAGUGGGGAAUAUUGGACAAUGGGCGCAAGCCUGAUCCAGCCAUACCGCGUGGGUGAAGAAGGCCUUCGGGUUGUAAAGCCCUUUUGUUGGGAAAGAAAAGCAGCAGGUUAAUACCCCGCUGUUCUGACGGUACCCAAAGAAUAAGCACCGGCUAACUUCGUG